RNAcentral lists this long non-coding RNA (206 nucleotides) under Elaeis guineensis (African oil palm). Its description in RNAcentral is "long non-coding RNA (EGUI_LNC035762)". Lineage: Eukaryota; Viridiplantae; Streptophyta; Magnoliopsida; Arecales; Arecaceae. The record is from RNAcentral.
AGUAGGGAUUGACUCGAGGUAACUAUGAGUCAGCUCGAUAGAAGUAGGGCUCGACUCAAGAUCUGAUCAAAAGAGUAUAGUUUUCUAUCUUUCUUGAGAGAAUUGACUCGAGAUCAAGUACGAGUUGACUCGAACCAGUGUUGAAAGAUUCUAUUUUAUGUGUCUGAGAUAGUUGACUCGAUAAAAGUAGGGGUCGACUUUUAAAC